UGAAAAAGUUGGAAAAGUGCCUC
RNAcentral lists this non-coding RNA (23 nucleotides) under Arabidopsis thaliana (thale cress). Lineage: Eukaryota; Viridiplantae; Streptophyta; Magnoliopsida; Brassicales; Brassicaceae. The record is from RNAcentral.